This 1075-nucleotide long non-coding RNA is filed under the name Papio anubis (olive baboon). RNAcentral's name for it is "lncRNA (ENSPANG00000047506.1)". Lineage: Eukaryota; Metazoa; Chordata; Mammalia; Primates; Cercopithecidae. The record is from RNAcentral.
GAAAGUAGGCAUUUAUCCCAGAUCUGGCAUAUUUUUACCAAAGAAAAAAUUUGUAUGUUUACACUACAAUAUUUCACUGCCACAACAUUCUGAUUUUUGUUGUUGUUGUUGUUGCUUGGAUACAAGCAGAAAGAAAACUGGUGGCGGGUCACACAUAUCUGCGAUUACCUGUAAUGACAACAGUAGAUGUUUAAAUAAAAUCAAAACUGCAGUUGCUGCUGAUUAUGAACAAUAAAGUUGGUCCUUUACACGGGGUGUCAUCCGCAGUACAGUAGCUACUACAUGUCAAAAACAGUAGGUUUGUGUUUCGUCUUUUAAAGGUUUCUUUUUGAUAGCAUCAGAAUAGCACAGAGAGGGGAAAUUUCAUGGAGGUUUUCCCUAAAGAAUUAUGGUUUUGCAGUAGCACUAAUUUAUCAUCCAAGAGACCAGUUCAUAAAAUAAAAAUGUAAUAAAACAUAAUGGGGAAUGGUUUUUCCUCAUCCCUCCACAUAGCUCUUAUUAACAUUAAUGGGAAUUGUACGUGAUUUGGGGAAGGGGAGGCUGCCUGGUAUUUCCAAAGGGUUUAUAUGUAGACAGAUUGAAUGAGAGGGUCCCAUGUGAUUUCUUCCAGCACAAUAUAGAAUAAAGGGAGGGACACAGGGCCUCUCUUUGGAGAAUACUAUGCUUUUUGUUGGCAUAAUUUGAUUUAUUUUCCUGUUCAGAAGUGUGAGGACAGAGCAGGAAAACCAUGAGGCACGGAGAAAGGAAGGUGCUGUUUUAUUAUUAAAGUCUAAUGUGCUGUGAAUAAGUUCACUUAUAAUAAGAAGUUCAAAAUACCCCCUCUUAAAAUGGAUCUAUUUUUUCUUGAUUUAGUAUUCCACAUGGCAUAUUUUACCUCCAGUUCUGACGACAUAUAGAAAACAUCUCAGAGGGAAUAAAAGUAAUGAUUUUUCUCUCCCUAAUUGAAUCAGACCUUAAAGUCUCUCUGGAAUUAAAGGCAAUAGUCUUUAGCAUUUGCUUUUUCUUACUUGGUGAGUAUUGUCCAUGAGGUUGUGAGUAUUACUAAGCUAGUAAUAUUAUUGGUUUUUAAUUAAAA